RNAcentral lists this ribosomal RNA (165 nucleotides) under uncultured bacterium. Its description in RNAcentral is "partial 16S rRNA". It matches the Rfam family "Bacterial small subunit ribosomal RNA", at positions 355 to 511 of the family's 1533-position model. The record is from RNAcentral.
UAGGGAAUCUUCCACAAUGGACGCAAGUCUGAUGGAGCAACGCCGCGUGAGUGAAGAAGGUCUUCGGGAUCGUAAAACUCUGUUGUUAGAGAAGAACACGAGUGAGAGUAACUGUUCAUUCGAUGACGGUAUCUAACCAGCAAGUCACGGCUAACUACGUGCCAG